ACGGCCGCGCGCACGCGCCUCGGAUCGCUCUGCGCGACGCCGCCCGCAUAGUCGUGUGCGGCGCGUUGUCGCGCGGCUACGUCGGCCAGGCGCGCGGUGGCGUACGAGAGACGCGCGCACGUGUACAGCGCUUCGCAACCGGUCUCGGGGCGUCUGCGCGAUGCCUCGCACAUGACGGCCUUGGUCUCGGUCGCGAGCCACGUGGUAGUCGGAGCGGCGACGGUCGAGGCCAACGCCAGAGUGGGCGCCGCCAACGGCUGCCCGGGUAUGCCCGACCACAACGGGUGGCACUGUUGUGUCGCAUCCAUCGACAGGGCGACGCCCGCAAUGCCCUCGGCCAGGUUGGACGCCACGGCGCCAAUCACCUCGCUCACCGGCACGGGCACGCCUCCUGCGUUGGGCAUCGUCGAGGACGAUACGGACGGCAUCGCGCCUUGCGUGCGCUUGCCCUUGGCGCAGCGCGCGCACGUUGCCUUUUUUGUGUGUGCCGAUGGCGAUUGCGACGCCGAUGACGACACGACGCGCGCACCGGGAGGGUGACUACGGCGACGCACGGUCCAUGCGACCCCGCCACUGGUGCUGCGUCCGCAUACAUAGACGCACACGCCCUUGAUGUGAGGACGGUCCGCAAUGCCCACCGUCGCAGACCAGGGCUCUCGAUUGGCGUUCUUGCUCGCCGGCAUCGCAACUGCAAUGAUCGGCGCACAGUCGGGGGACGACAUUGUUGAAGACGCCGGCGACGGCAUCGGCGGUUCCUGAUGCUCACGGACCCUGGGCUCAUCAUCCCCAUCCCCAUCAUCAUCGCCGUCGCGCAUAGCCAUGGGCACGAUGGCGAUCGGCGGAGGACGACGCGGCGCAUUGGCGGCAGUGCAUGCCAGGCACGCGGGCCGACUCCACAGAGGCCGGUGGAUGGCAAACACGCCGAGCGAUCCAGACGCCACGGCAUGCUCUACCGAUGCAAUGAAUCGGCGCGCCGUGGCGUUUUCAAAGGCCUCUUCGAUCGUGGCCAGGCGCAAGCGCAUCGACCCUUCAAUGUCACGCGGAUCGAGACCCGCACAGCCAGCCGCUCCCAGCCGUUUCGCGCACGACGUGUGGCAUACGUCGCGCGCCGGCGGCGCAUCCGAGCCGCCAUAGUCGGGAGGCGGUGGCAACGGCGUCGCGCGCGACCAUCCCAUUGUAACGGCCGCACCGUCGAUAUAGAGCGACGUGGCGGUCGUGAGCGAAAACGCAGGGCGCAUGCGAUGAGUCACACCUUUUGUGGCGCCCGCAUCGGUCCUUUUCAUGUUGCUGUUGCCGCUCGCGGCGAUGUUGCCUAGAGCGCGCGGUUUGCUGAUGGUGCCCCUCACACCGAGCGGGUUCGCGCUGCCGUAUUUGACGGGCUGUCUGAGCGACACGCCCGUAAGGCAACCGACGCCCAUGACCGAAAGCGCGUCGACGGCGUCCCUAUACGACUCUGGGAGCACGCCGGUCGGCGACUGUGACAUUGGCACGACCGACGACGACGGUGGCAGCGCCGCGAGCAGCGAUGCCGUAUAAGAGAGGGGCUCGGAUGCCGACGGCGGCAUCAGCGCGCAAUCGCGUCGCGCGCCCUGCUGGGGCGUGGAGCCCUCCGUGUCUUGGUGUGUCGCGGCCGUCGGGUCUGUUCCGCGGGUCGACCCCACGAUGUGCGCGCAGACGGGCAAAAGCCGGGUCGAACCAAUAGGCGAUGUGGCAGGGGCGCGAGAAAGAAGAAUAUUCCGCAGAAAGCUUUGAGGAGAAAAACAGGCAACGAAAUGCGACGCUCACUGCACAACAAAGAGCCAAGCGUCGAAAAAGGAGGAAACAGUGAGGCGGAGAGAUGAAAAGAAAAUAGAAGAUCGUGGCACCCGCGCACUAGCGUGGCCCCGAUUGUGAAGCGGCAACGACAAAAACAAAAAAAUAGGGAAAAAAAGAGUUCAUAAAGACGACAUAGCGCGUACGUGAUGGCGACGGCGAUGAUGG
RNAcentral lists this long non-coding RNA (1980 nucleotides) under Pandoravirus neocaledonia. Its description in RNAcentral is "hypothetical ncRNA". The record is from RNAcentral.